RNAcentral lists this ribosomal RNA (253 nucleotides) under uncultured bacterium. RNAcentral's name for it is "partial 16S ribosomal RNA". It matches the Rfam family "Bacterial small subunit ribosomal RNA", at positions 524 to 776 of the family's 1533-position model. The record is from RNAcentral.
UACGUAGGAUGCAAGCGUUGUUCGGAAUUACUGGGCGUAAAGAGUACGUAGGCGGUUUGAUAAGUCUGGUAUUAAAGACUGGAGCUUAACUCCAGGACUGUAGUGGAAACUGUCAGACUAGAGGACAAUAGAGGAAGUCGGAAUUCUCAGUGUAGCGGUGAAAUGCGUAGAUAUUGGGAAGAACACCAGUGGCGAAAGCGGACUUCUGGGUUGUUACUGACGCUGAGGUACGAAAGCGUGGGGAGCAAACGGG